This 2923-nucleotide ribosomal RNA is filed under the name Klebsiella pneumoniae. RNAcentral's name for it is "23S ribosomal RNA". It matches the Rfam family "Bacterial large subunit ribosomal RNA". Lineage: Bacteria; Pseudomonadati; Pseudomonadota; Gammaproteobacteria; Enterobacterales; Enterobacteriaceae. The record is from RNAcentral.
GGGUUGUGAGGUUAAGCGACUAAGCGUACACGGUGGAUGCCCUGGCAGUCAGAGGCGAUGAAGGACGUGCUAAUCUGCGAAAAGCGUCGGUAAGGUGAUAUGAACCGUUAUAACCGGCGAUGUCCGAAUGGGGAAACCCAGUGCAAUUCGUUGCACUAUCGUUAACUGAAUACAUAGGUUAACGAGGCGAACCGGGGGAACUGAAACAUCUAAGUACCCCGAGGAAAAGAAAUCAACCGAGAUUCCCCCAGUAGCGGCGAGCGAACGGGGAGCAGCCCAGAGUCUGAAUCAGCUUGUGUGUUAGUGGAACGGUCUGGAAAGUCCGACGGUACAGGGUGAUAGUCCCGUACACCAAAAUGCACAGGCUGUGAACUCGAAGAGUAGGGCGGGACACGUGGUAUCCUGUCUGAAUAUGGGGGGACCAUCCUCCAAGGCUAAAUACUCCUGACUGACCGAUAGUGAACCAGUACCGUGAGGGAAAGGCGAAAAGAACCCCGGCGAGGGGAGUGAAAAAGAACCUGAAACCGUGUACGUACAAGCAGUGGGAGCACCUUCGGGUGUGACUGCGUACCUUUUGUAUAAUGGGUCAGCGACUUAUAUUCUGUAGCAAGGUUAACCGUAUAGGGGAGCCGCAGGGAAACCGAGUCUUAACUGGGCGUUAAGUUGCAGGGUAUAGACCCGAAACCCGGUGAUCUAGCCAUGGGCAGGUUGAAGGUUGGGUAACACUAACUGGAGGACCGAACCGACUAAUGUUGAAAAAUUAGCGGAUGACUUGUGGCUGGGGGUGAAAGGCCAAUCAAACCGGGAGAUAGCUGGUUCUCCCCGAAAGCUAUUUAGGUAGCGCCUCGUGAACUCAUCUUCGGGGGUAGAGCACUGUUUCGGCUAGGGGGUCAUCCCGACUUACCAACCCGAUGCAAACUACGAAUACCGAAGAAUGUUAUCACGGGAGACACACGGCGGGUGCUAACGUCCGUCGUGAAGAGGGAAACAACCCAGACCGCCAGCUAAGGUCCCAAAGUCAUGGUUAAGUGGGAAACGAUGUGGGAAGGCACAGACAGCCAGGAUGUUGGCUUAGAAGCAGCCAUCAUUUAAAGAAAGCGUAAUAGCUCACUGGUCGAGUCGGCCUGCGCGGAAGAUGUAACGGGGCUAAACCAUGCACCGAAGCUGCGGCAGCGACACUAUGUGUUGUUGGGUAGGGGAGCGUUCUGUAAGCCUGCGAAGGUGUGCUGUGAGGCAUGCUGGAGGUAUCAGAAGUGCGAAUGCUGACAUAAGUAACGAUAAAGCGGGUGAAAAGCCCGCUCGCCGGAAGACCAAGGGUUCCUGUCCAACGUUAAUCGGGGCAGGGUGAGUCGACCCCUAAGGCGAGGCCGAAAGGCGUAGUCGAUGGGAAACAGGUUAAUAUUCCUGUACUUGGUGUUACUGCGAAGGGGGGACGGAGAAGGCUAUGUUAGCCGGGCGACGGUUGUCCCGGUUUAAGCAUGUAGGCUGGUUGUCCAGGCAAAUCCGGAUAAUCAAGGCUGAGGUGUGAUGACGAGGCACUACGGUGCUGAAGUAACAAAUGCCCUGCUUCCAGGAAAAGCCUCUAAGCAUCAGGUAACAUUAAAUCGUACCCCAAACCGACACAGGUGGUCAGGUAGAGAAUACCAAGGCGCUUGAGAGAACUCGGGUGAAGGAACUAGGCAAAAUGGUGCCGUAACUUCGGGAGAAGGCACGCUGGUGUGUAGGUGAAGUCCCUGCGGAUGGAGCUGAGACCAGUCGAAGAUACCAGCUGGCUGCAACUGUUUAUUAAAAACACAGCACUGUGCAAACACGAAAGUGGACGUAUACGGUGUGACGCCUGCCCGGUGCCGGAAGGUUAAUUGAUGGGGUUAUCCGUAAGGAGAAGCUCUUGAUCGAAGCCCCGGUAAACGGCGGCCGUAACUAUAACGGUCCUAAGGUAGCGAAAUUCCUUGUCGGGUAAGUUCCGACCUGCACGAAUGGCGUAAUGAUGGCCAGGCUGUCUCCACCCGAGACUCAGUGAAAUUGAACUCGCUGUGAAGAUGCAGUGUACCCGCGGCAAGACGGAAAGACCCCGUGAACCUUUACUAUAGCUUGACACUGAACAUUGAGCCUUGAUGUGUAGGAUAGGUGGGAGGCUUUGAAGCGUGGACGCCAGUCUGCGUGGAGCCAACCUUGAAAUACCACCCUUUAAUGUUUGAUGUUCUAACGUUGGCCCCUUACCGGGGUUGCGGACAGUGUCUGGUGGGUAGUUUGACUGGGGCGGUCUCCUCCCAAAGCGUAACGGAGGAGCACGAAGGUUAGCUAAUCCUGGUCGGACAUCAGGAGGUUAGUGCAAUGGCAUAAGCUAGCUUGACUGCGAGCGUGACGGCGCGAGCAGGUGCGAAAGCAGGUCAUAGUGAUCCGGUGGUUCUGAAUGGAAGGGCCAUCGCUCAACGGAUAAAAGGUACUCCGGGGAUAACAGGCUGAUACCGCCCAAGAGUUCAUAUCGACGGCGGUGUUUGGCACCUCGAUGUCGGCUCAUCACAUCCUGGGGCUGAAGUAGGUCCCAAGGGUAUGGCUGUUCGCCAUUUAAAGUGGUACGCGAGCUGGGUUUAGAACGUCGUGAGACAGUUCGGUCCCUAUCUGCCGUGGGCGCUGGAGAAUUGAGGGGGGCUGCUCCUAGUACGAGAGGACCGGAGUGGACGCAUCACUGGUGUUCGGGUUGUCAUGCCAAUGGCACUGCCCGGUAGCUAAAUGCGGAAGAGAUAAGUGCUGAAAGCAUCUAAGCACGAAACUUGCCCCGAGAUGAGUUCUCCCUGAGACUAUAAGUCUCCUGAAGGAACGUUAAAGACGAUGACGUUGAUAGGCCGGGUGUGUAAGCGCAGCGAUGCGUUGAGCUAACCGGUACUAAUGAACCGUGAGGCUUAACCUUACAACGCCGAAG